UCGGAUUCGGUGGACUACGUCAAUGACCAGUGCUUUUUUUAUUUAAUGUUAAAGGGGUAUUCCAGGUCCAGACAGGAGGAGAAAACCCCCAGGUGACCGGAGUUGUGGGAGGAAAUGCUGUUGUCUUCUGAACGUCUUGGUUCUUCUGUUACUUUGCUCCCUCUGGUUUGGCCUAGGAAGUGACAGAUGGCGGC
This is a long non-coding RNA of Hyla sarda, 194 nucleotides long. RefSeq lists it as uncharacterized. The record is from RefSeq and is a predicted model, not a curated record. The transcript has 3 exons. NCBI's taxonomy places the organism in Eukaryota, Metazoa, Chordata, Amphibia, Anura, Hylidae.